This 17003-nucleotide long non-coding RNA is filed under the name Gallus gallus (chicken). RNAcentral's name for it is "lncRNA (ENSGALG00010017911.1)". The record is from RNAcentral. Lineage: Eukaryota; Metazoa; Chordata; Aves; Galliformes; Phasianidae.
AAUAAAUUAAGGUCUAUAAGGCAAAACCACACCAGCUGAAGUACAGUUUGAAUUGACAAUGCAGAACUGAAUACAGCUCUCCAGCGGUUGAGCAAGCAGCCUGGCUAGUGGCACCAACAGCAUAGGCUGCACCAUUUAUUUUUGAGCCAAUAAAGCAAAACAAAUCUGCUGCCCAAAUAAACCAGAAGACAUUUACACACUUACAGCAGCAGCUCAAGCUGACAAAAUUGGAGCUAAAUAUUAGGCACGUUGGAGAUGCAAACAAGGACCCCGUGUCUGCUGCCAUUUGGCUUCCCUGUACUGGAGGUGGCCAUGAGGAGAUGCCACCCCAGUCGUGCCCCCGGCUCAGCUCUGGCUUGAGAUGAGGACCACCACAGCCCAGCUCCCUGCUGGCUUCCUUUUUUUGCUAUUAAAUGCUCUGUGAUAAAGAAACGAAGUGUCUACCCCAGCCAAGGGGCCCACCACCCCAGCCAAAAUGCAACAGCUUGAUUUAUCCAUCCAAGCCCCUACAUCCCCCCCGCACCAAGAGCAUUCAGGCAUCCUAUGGUAAUUCCAUUUCCCAUUUUCAGAAGAAUUGAGCAGUUUAAUUAAACAAACUGGCAGAGUACGGAAGAAAUAAGCCAAACUGCAAGCAUGCAUCUCAAGGGCAGGCUGGAUGGAGCCUCUGAGAUGGGGAGCAGCACCUGGCACCAAGGCUAUCCAGAAAGCUCCAAAGGGAGUAAAGCUUCGAAACAAAGCAAAAAAAAAGGGGGGGGGAAGGGAGAGGGGGGUAAAUCAGAACAAUCUUUACAAAAAUGGAAAAAUCUGCUGAGUGCUUUGCUGUAUCCUUGAACCUUAUUCCCAAUGCUUUAACAGCAGCAGCUCCCAGUACGUGUCAGAGAAGGUAACGGCCUUGCUGUUGGAUGGGAUUUUUCCCAGUUAUCCUCUCUUCCUCUCACUCCACCUCUUCCCCAGUUCCAGACAGCAAUAAAGUUUCCUGACACUUCAUUAACACUCCUUCCUUCAAAUACUCUAUACGUUUUAAUGGAGCAAAGCUGCUCCAUAGUGAAAUCAACCCUCUAGAAGGAAGGGCCUGAUAAACCGCAGCCCAUCAGCAGACGGUCCAACAGUGCCUCUGCUUUUCCUUUGCAAGGAGAUGCUAAAAAAUCCCCAAAACCUGAAGCAGAAAUAAUAACACACCACUAAGAUCCAAGCAAGCUCUUAAAGACGAAAAGCGGACUGAGAGCUCCUGCAGCACCCAGAGAUAGGAAGCUAUUCUGAGCCUGUGCAGAGAUCCCAGAGCAAUUCCAAAGCAUGGAAUUGGGGAUUACACAACAGGCAGCAGCAGCAUCAUAAAAUCACGCCGCAUCAUGCAAAUUGACACCUCGGGUAACACUUAUGUCUCUUUCUCUUUCCAGUUCUUUAUGCAAAAUGCACAGGAUUAGCUCGAGCUUGUCCUGACAAUUUGCUUUUCUAAAAAAGUCAAUCCACAAAUUCAAGGUAUUUACUGCAUUUGUUCUUUAAAUGAUGUGCUUUGAUCUCCGUGCUGAUAACAAGGGGUAAUUGAGGCUAGCCUAAAGCGCAGUGGCAGUGUUAUUAUGCAGCAUGGCACAGAAAGGCAGCAAGGAGCUCAGUCUUUUUGGCAUUCCCACGUCUGUAGCUGUAGAACAGAGACCACAGUAUGACUCUUAUGGGUUGGGGGAUUCUGGAGGAGGGACACUGCAGGAUCCACACUUGGCUCCAGCACACAGCUCUGCAAGCACUGCGCCUUUGCUCAUUCUUCUGAAAAAGGAGCUCCCAAUGCAACUUGCUCAAAUGCAAAGAAGCUGAGCUCAGCUUCUGACUUCAACACCUUUUGCAGCACAAGGAAGAUGAAGGGGAGCAUGCCCUCAAGGACCCCAGCAUCAGCUGGGACGUGGGCAUCACUGCACAACGAGCAGUGGGAGCUCUGAGCUUUGCAAAGCGUGGGGGGUUACAAAGAACAACACGGCUCCACAGAAAGCAGUCCCAGCUCCCUGCCACCUGGCCGGCUGGAACGUCUCAAAUUAGGGAGCUUACAGCGAAGAAGUGGCCACAUGCCAUCACUUAGCAGCUCCCGGUCAGCAGUUCAGAAGUUAUGACCAGAACAAGCAGACACAGCUCAUUCAUGCAGCCAGGGAUGGGGAAGCAGAGCCCACACCGCUCACUCCUGAAGUUCAGAAACAAAUGUGUGCGCUCCCUCUCCUCCCAGUUUAAAAACUGUGGUAAAGCAGACCUGCCUGUUAGGAGCAAGGUGUGAUAGAUAGAAGCUUGGCUUAGCCAAACACGAAAAUCAUCAGAUCUUCAUUAAGUAUGUCUCCCUGGGAAAGCAGCCUUCUUGGAGUAACGUAAUAGCACCUAUGUGGGCUGUGUGUCCCAAAACAUUUGCAUUGCAGACACUGGUCUGCAUUGUGACUGGCUCCGAAGUUAUCCGUAAUUGUUUCUAUAUAAUGUACAUCUGAUCAUUUGGACAGUGAAUUUGGCAAAUCCCAAAUUCAACUCCAACAUUAUAAAUUCACUAUUACGCUUUGCACUGGACUAUGAACUCAAAGACAGGACUGUCUCUCAUUAUGAUGAUGUAGAUAUGCUCUUAAUCUUCUCUCAGUAAGGAAAUUGCUCUGUUCUCAUCACUGUAAUAGCUGGUCAUUACAUUUAUCCUAAAGUGAAUUCAUCUUCCUGGCCAUGGGGAACCAGCACUGUGCACAGAAGCAGGUGAGGUCCUCCAGAGCUUCCUCCUCCAUCACAGCCCUCCCUUCCAAUUGGAAACCCAUUUAACACACUCACUCUGUAUUUCCUGGGGGUACUCCUCAUACAUGCUCCAAUAUCAGCGCAGCUGAGAAGCUCAGCCCAUGACUGAUCAUCAGGGGACUCGUUUCAUACAAUCAUGAAGCUUGGAAAAGACCUCUAAGAUCGCCAACCCCAACCCAACCCACCGUGCCCACUGACCACAUCCCUCAGUGCCACAUCUCCACAGUUCUAGAACACCUCCAGGGAUGGUAUCCCCACCAUUUCCCUAGGCAGUUUGUUCCAAUACUUAACCACUCUUUCAGAGAAUAAGUCUUUCACCACCUCUUCCUACCGCGCUCAUUCUCAUUUGAAAUAACCUCAGUUUCCUUUUGUGUAUAACUGUGUGCCACUGACACUUGCAGAGAUCUGGAGAGUCGAGACCCCGAGUUCUUAACUGGUUGCAAAAUCAGCUCUAACGCCGAGCAAUUGGGAUAACCUGGUUUUUAUCUCCCAAUUAAUUACGUAAUACAGCAAUUAUCUGAUAGAGAUCACCUCACCUUUCACCCUAGCAGGGAGUAGCAAAAUAAAGUUGCAAGGCAGUCUGGUUAACUCUACUGAAGGUCUUAAAAGAAUUCCAGUGGAUGGAUUACAAGAUACAAGUAAAAACCUGAAAUGUGUUCCAGGAGUUGCUUUGUCCUUACCAGCUGAUGAACAUACUCAAAAUCUUGGGGAAAAGAAGGGAGAUGAAGAACAUUCUAAGAAAUAUGGUAAAGGAGGGGGCAGAUGAUAGCAGGAUUUCUCACGUCCCAUAUUAAAACUGUACAGGAAAUACAGGAAGGAUAGCAUCACGUAUGUUUUCAAUACAGCUCGCAGGAUUCAAGUCUGAAAUGCAGGAAAUCUCAUGUUACACGGAUGUCUAGCAACCCUACCUCAUGGAACACCGUGGGAGCUGGACCAGAGCCUGAAUUCCUGCUCUGCUUCCAGCUGAUACUGUGCACACUGAGAGCACACUGGUCAGAUCUCAGAGGGCACCAACACUCAAGCCUUAGCUUGAAAACAGUGGAUAAGAUCUACACUGGUACUGCAUCCCUUCAGCUAUUGCUAUUCCUAUACUGUGGCAUGAGGAGGCUCCCAGGCUCAUGUAACCCAUGGGAGAACCUCUUUGCAAAUCCAGCAACUGGGAGAAAAUGUGGCAACAAACUCCAGGCACGGCCGUGCCAAGCACCUCCUUAGAGCCUCGAGCAGGUAGCUCACAGCAACAGGAACCAGCACGUUGAGAAAGGACAGGGAGUGCCACAGUGCUCCAGCAGGGAAUCUCUUCCAGUUGGCUGCAUCAUCCAUUCAAGUCCUUGAUGCUAUGUGCUGAUGCUCCCAGUCAUCUCAGCAACCUCCUUCGCUUGCAUUUAACAAACUAGCAGUAGCACAGCAUAAUGACAUCAUACCCAGGCAAUGCAUCUGCCCACAAUUACCUCUGGGAGGACAGGUGAGGUUACUGGAGGCCCUGCUGGAGAGGUUUGCUCUGCUGGGAGAGCAGAGCUGUCUGGGCAAGCCAACAGUAGCCUGAUCUUCACAGCAGAUCCCUCUCUGUGUUUUCUCAGGAUUCCUGCUAUUAGCCAAGGCAGCACAGAGAUGUUCUCACCAGGCAAGGAAAGCACAUGAUUAAAAGCAGAAAGUCUCUGAUCUUCUCCAAGCAGAAUGUUUGGCAUUGCUCAAUGUUCAGUGUGGCACUGUGCUUAGAGCUGUCUGAGACCACCUCAGCAAGCUGCUCUGCUAGGACAGAAUAUAUCUGGGAGGUUAAGAGAUGUUAAUAUGAUUUGGAAACAGAUUCAGCUGCUCCUGAUGUGGAGAGCUUCGUGAGGAAGGGGGACAGUUGUACGCGUGGCACAAAACACCAUGGCUGAAGUGUCAGCCACGGCUUGAACUAUUCUUCCAGGUGUUGCACACCACCCAUGCAAUCAAUGUGCAUGUUUCUGAGAUGCUGACAUUUGAAGAAAGGAUGGAAGAGAACUCUCCUGCUGCUGCAAGUCAUCGAGCAACCAAAAGGAUCGCAACAGAUCACUGUUGGGAUGAAGUGCAAGAAGGAGUCAAGAUCAUACAAUCAUAGAAUGGCUUAGGUUGGAAGGGACCUUAAAGAUCACCAAGUUCCAACCCCCUUGCUGUGGGCAGGGUUGCCAACAACCAGAGCAGGCCAAGCACAGAGCAGAGUUUGUGCCAUGUCUCCCUUGCAGCCCAACCAAGGUGUGGAAAGGAGCAGGACCAUUCAUACAGCCAUUGACACAGCAGGGAGGGAUGCUGCCAAACCAGAGCAAGGGGGAACUGGAGUGAGCCAUAGUGAUCCAACAGCAGUUCUGGGGAAAAGACGCCUGAACACAGUGUGCCUCGAGGGGAAUUCCUGUCCACAUGGGCAGGCAUGCCCCAUACCCCUCUGCUCGGCUCCUGAGCCAAGACAAACACUCACUGUGAGAGCAUGGGCUGUGACAGCCACACCUGCGUGCCCAGGGAGCGGCUCUGAUCCAUCCCAUGUGCUUCCAUGCAAUCCUGGCUUGGCACCGCCCCGCUGGUGCUUCCAAAAACUGGGGCCCUGCAGCAGAUUGCCCAUCAACAGUCAGCAGUCUCUGGAAGCCAGUUUUUCCCAUACAUUGUGGUUGCUCUACUCAGCCCCUUCCAUACCAAGCUUCCCCUAACACCUCCUUCCUGGUGCUGUCCCACCCAGAGCCUCCUGCAAGCUCCAGCUCCAUGGCACCCAAGGUUAUGGGACUGCUGCACAGCCACCCCUGUCCUCCCCCCCAGCCACUGCCACCCUGGCCACCAGACCUCACCCACCCCUUGAAAAACCUCUGUGCUUCACCCUUAUCCCCAAGCACAUCCAUGUUCCCCCAUAUCAACCACUUCAACGCUUGAUCACCAGAUGUUAUUUUGACUAAAAUCAAAACCGAUUCCAGACAAUGUCUUCAGACACCCACAGAGACCUCCAGGUAGGUUUUGCCUGCUUUAUCAGCUUUCUGUCUUGAAUCAGUGCUGGUAGCAACCCCUAUCUACGAUUUUGCAGAUAGCAAAGCUUCCGCAAUGACUCAACCACUCCUUUUUCAGGUGAGAAACCCCAAGCAUCCGCACACCCCUCCUUGCACCUGCAUCCUGCAAACCAGAGCUCCAGGCAGCCUGAGCAGCAGCAAAACCUCACAAGCAGCCACCAGAGAAGAAAAGCAAGCCUUGCUGUGCUCCUGCCCAGCAGCUGAUGCUUGGAGACCUCUGCAGAUGGGAUGUGCAGAACUGCACCCUCUGAGCUCUGCAUGGGUGCAGCAGCUGCAUGAAGGAUUCGCUUCUCUUCCGUCUUUCUGCUUUUCUGCAGAACAGAAUACAAUUUCUUUCAAGGGCAAUGUGAUCAACCAAGAAUGAAACUCCAUCAGGCAGGUUUCAAGGUCUCUAUGUGCCAGACGCAGGCUGGCUCUGGAGCGAGGAAACCAAAAGCAAGACAAAUUCUGACCUAUUCAGCUCUAUUUGACUUUUCUCCUAUUAACCUUUUCCUGUUUGGGCUUUCCAUAUAACAACAAAGGAGCAGGAAGAAAGGGAAAAGAUCCAUGCACAGCAAGGGAGUGCCACCCCAGGAAGCCAGAGAGACCUCUGUCCAUUGCACAGAGCAAUCCCAGAGCAGCUCAGCCAGCAGGCACAGAGCCAGGCAAGGGCCCCCAGAGCAGAACAGGAGGGAGAGGAAGAAGGAAGGAGAUGGAGGAAAAACCCAAAAACCCAACCGCCCCAAACAUCCCCACACUGAAACUUUACAAAUGAUAGAAGGCCGAGCGCAGCUUUCACAGGAACUCCUCCUUAUUACUGGUGGGCAACUGCAUUUUUAUCCCGUGGCUUUCUGAUUUUGCAGAUGCAUUCCAGCACGAAACCAGAGGCAACACGCGCUGCUGAGCAGCGGAGUUUAUUUUAAGGGAUGUAACAUUUUCCUGAGGAUGCUCUAUUUGCAUCUGCUGCAGGAAGCAGUAAAAUGGCAGGUGUGUUUCCACACAGCCACAGACACAAAACAAAACGCACAAUGCAAAGCGAACGCUUUUGUCUUGCAAAUCUCUGCUCUCUGCGAUGAAAAAAAUUAAUUAAUUAAUUAACAAAAAAGAAAAGCGAAAAAAGAAAGGGGGAGGGAAAGGGGUUUUCCCCAGGGCCUGUUUUCUAGCUUAUUAGUCCUGCAGAUGCUCAAGACAUACUUUGCCAGGAAGGAGCUCCAUGCCCACCGGCAGGAGAAGGCAGUGCAGGCUGCAGGCAAACCGCUGCCCCGCAUUUGCAUGCAUGUAAGCGCCUAAUUGCUACCGCGCACACCGCACCUUGCAGGCUGCUCUUUCCAGAUGCACCCUUCAGCAACGAUCCUUUGGGGAGGCCUCUCCUCCAGGAGCACACGCUCGUGGUAGUGUGGAGGAUGGACUGAGCCGUUGUACUUAAAAUGAUGCACCUCUGCACGGUUUGAAUGGUUUCUUCAGCAAUUUGACUUUCCCCUGCAAUAAUCCACUGCGUGAUUUCCUUGGAGCAGACAGCACCUCCAAAUACAGGGAGCUUGCUGGAUGUUAUCUAGAGAAAUAACUUUUCCUGUCUUCCAGUCUUGCACUUUGGGAAGGAAUAGCAUAGAAAUAUAAGUGUCAUUCUGCUCUGCCUGCCACAGCUGCAGAACCAGCAAAAGCAGGAUGUGAUGGAAAAUAACACCCGUGGACAGUUAUUUAAAAGAUAAAAUAUCCUUUUUUUCUUCUUUUUUUUUUUUUUUUAAUCCAGUCUAAUUAUUCCCCUGGCAAUCAGCAUCACAACAGCAGAAGCCCAAAGCUUCUGAAAAUCCCACGAAUGCUGCAGCAUUAGUAAGAACAGGCAGCAAUGUUCAGCCUUACAUGAGAUGAUGUGCUGGAGAGAGUUGUCCAGAAACUAUGAUAAGUUUUCUACAGCACAGUAAUAAAUAUCCAACUUAAAGGUAUGGCUAUGAGCGUACUAACACAGCCUGCUCAGCAGAAAGGGCAAAAUGUGUUAGUCAGAAGAUUCUGCUUUCAGGAAAUGUAAUUUUUGACUGUUCUAUUCUUUAGAAACUUUCCUGGGAAAUCCCACUGGCCUUUAUCUGCUACUUUCCCUUUUACUUUCUGCAGAGAACAAUAUUCUUCCAACUGUCCUAUCCCUCUGCACAGCCAGCUUUUCCUAAGCAUCCCACAUGGCUUUCCUGGCACUUCUUAAACUUCCCAGGGGUUUAUAACCCCUCUAUUUCAAUGCUGUAAGACCAAUUAUUUUUUUACCCUAAUCUCUCAUUUAUCACUUGAAUAUCUCACAAUUCUCAGUGACAAAACACAGUACCCUCUGUACUUCUGUUACAGUGCAACCCUUAUGGCUUCCUGUUUGUUUCUCCUUUCUAACCAUUGCAGCUCCUGGCUUAAGCUUCAUCUUCUCUGAGCAAAGAGCUUCUCAUGACCAAGGAUUUGCCUACGACCGAGGAACUGUCCACAACCAAGGAGCUGCCCAUGACCAAGGAGACGCCCACCAACAAAGAGUUGCCCAUGACCAAGGUGAUAACCAUGACCAAGGCGAUGCCCAUGACCAAAGAGUUGCCCACAAUCAAGGAGCUGCCCAUGGCCAGGAAGUUACCCAUGACCCCAUGCCUGGAUGGGCUGUGAUGCCAUGUAUCUGCUCAGGCCUCCAGGCACCACUGCUUGGUAGGUCCUGCAACAACACAGAUGUCUGUGCAUGCUCCAGAGCACUAUAAGUUCCAUCUAGCACUGAAAAUUCAGAAAUAGAUACUGUGCUUUCAUUCUGACUCUUCUCAGACAUGCUCUGAUGUGCACACAGAACUGGCACCAAAGGACAUCUCCAUUUUGUACAGCCAGUACUCACUGGGACUGAACCCACUGAGCCCACUCGUUGCUCCAGGGGAAUGGAUUCUCCCUACAAGUGAAGCAAUCUCACAGUCACCCAUGGGAAGAGAGAGCUUCAGUCAUGAAACUUCACUUAAUUACUUAAUGGAAGGAACGCAGACACCGUGCAUGUGUGGGAAGCUGCAGAGGAAAGGGUUUAGCGAAGCACUGCAUGUGGCUUGAUUUGCUUAUUGGAAAAUUAGAGAGAGCAGUGCAGCUCCUCUGGUGUUGUAUUACUGACAAAUAAUGUCACUCUGCCCUGAGUUACGUGGUCAGUAAUAAAAAGAUGGCAUGCUUUCCUUAGGGACAUACCUACAGAGACAGCAGCAGGGGAAAGGCAAGCCUUUUCCACUGUGCCAAAAGUCACAACAUCAUUUUGUUUCACAUACAGGGAGUUACUCCUACACUGCAGUUCUCCUGCAGAACAGCACCAUUAACUUUUCACUAUAGACUGACAGCAAAGAAGGUGAGAGGAAUCACAGCAGAUCUUUGAGGACAACACAUGCCCCGCAUCCAUGGACAGGUUAAGGGCAUCUCUGGGUUAAAAUAACUGAUUGCAAAUCUGGGGUGUAAACUCAGCCUGUGUACACAGCCUCCAGCUGCCAUCUCCCCAUCAGGUUGGAUAUUAGGAAGAAUUUAUUCUCCCAAAGAGUGGUGAUGCAUUGGCACAGCUGCCCAGGGAGUGGUGGGGUCACCAACUCUGGAGGUGUUUCAGAACUGAUGGGGUCAUGGCACUGAGGGAUGUGGGCAGUGGGCAUGGUAGGCUGGGUUGGGGUUGGAUUGGAUGAUCUUAGAGGUAGUUUCCAACCUUAAUGAUUCUAUCUGUGGGUCUCAGCUCCCUAUCUGGAGAGCACCAAUGGUCUUCUCCUUAGUGCUUUUAAAGACUCGGAUCCAGCUCAGCUGGAAAGCAUUAAGAGUAUCGCAUUGGGAAAGGAGAGCAUCUGACAGCAAGACUCCAGAUGUUCACUCACUCCCCAGGCCUACUCCAUUCCAGGUUAUAUAUGCAGGUAAUGCUCUUCCCCUUGAUGUCAAAUGCAAAUUGAGUGAUUUUGCUUUUUGAAGUAAUCAGCCAUAAUCUUCAAGUUUGUCCUUAUGUCCAAGUGCUUUUAAGAAAUAAUUUAUAUUAAAAGUUCCCACUGCAAUUUGCUUCAGACCAAUCUCCCUGCACAAAAAAAAACACUCCACCUAAAUUCCUGACGUGCCCAAACCUUCCAUUAAUUCAGGCCCACUCAAUCAUCUUCAUCUCUGGCCCAGUACCAAGAUCCCCAGUAACACUGGGAUCAUGUUAGCUCUGCUUGUUCUCCACAGCUCAACACCCAGAGAGUGUUCAGUGCCCAUCCCUGCAGACACCCAAGGUCAGGCUGGAGGGGCUCUGAGCACUGAUGGAGCUGUGGGUGUCCCUGCUCAUUGCUGGGAGUUGGACCAGAUGGCCUUCAAAGGCACCUUCCAACUCAAACCAUUCUAUGAAACGGUCCUUGGUGUACUGAUGGACAGUCAGCUGAAUAGGAGCCAGCAGUGUGCCCAGGUGGCCAAGAAGGCCAACGGCCUCCUGGCUUGUAUCAGGAAUGGUGUGGUGAGCAGCACCAGGGAAGUCAUCCUGCCCCUCUACUCGGCAUUGGUGAGGCCUCACCUCGAGUCCUGCGCUCAGUUUAGGGCACCUCAGUACAGAAAGGACAUGAAGGUGCUGGAGCAGGUCCAAAGAAGGGCAACAAGGCUUGUGAAGGGCUUGGAGAAUAUGGCCUAUGAGGAGAGACUGAGGGAACUGGGGCUGUUUGGUCUGGGAAAAGGAGGCAGAGGGGAGACCUUACUGCUCUCUCCCAAUAUCUGAAAGGUGCUUACAGCGAGAGCCGAGCUGGUCUCUUCUCACUGCUGACAGGUGACAGGAUGAGGGAUGAGGGGAAAUGGCCUCAAGUAGUGCAGGGUAAGUUUAGGUUGGAUAUCAGGAAACACUUCUAUACAGAAAGGGUUGUUAAGCACUGGAAUGGGCUGCCCAGGGAGGUGGUUGAGUCACCAUCCCUGGAUGUGUUUAACAACUGUUUGGAUGUGGUGCUCAGGGACAUGAUUUAGUGGAGGGUUGUUCGAGUUAGGGUAGUGUGGUUAGGUCCUGGUUGGACUCUAUGAUCUUUAAGGUCAUUUCCAACCUGAGUGAUUCUAUGACUCUAUGAUCCCAGAGAAUGAAAGGGGUGCAGUACUGAGGCUUGGAGACAUCAUGAGGAGCCAUCCCCACAAGUAGUUGGUAGGGCAGCUGCUGUGCUUAGGAAUCGGCACCAACUCAUACUGUGAGGUACAUUCCUAACCUCUCCCCUGCAGGAGGUGUCUUGUGGCACCGACCAUGCAAGUCCCUAGGUAUCAAUACAGAGAAAAGGGAGUUCAAACCAAUGGUGGAAAUCUGUUACGUGUCACUGCUGUGCACAGAUUUCUGUGGUCAGCAGCCCGGCAGGUGCAAGUCCCCAGCUCUGCAUCUCCCACGGUGCUCCCAAACGCACACCCUUAAUUGUGCACACUGCUCCCUGCACCUGGGCACGCAGAUGUGGGGAACCUCUGGGCUUUCUAGGAAGCCUGGAAGAAGCCCCAAGCUGCUGACUGUGUCCCAAGGGAGCAAGGAUGAGGAGUUCCAGCAAGCUGCUGAGAGCUGCAAAGGUUCAUUUAUCCUCAACCCAAACUCCUGUCCUUACAAACCCUUUGCUGCCACAAACACUGCGUGUUUUAGCAACUCACCCUACUCAUCCAAUUAAUUAAGAGCUGUUUUCUUUACCAGAGAACCUCAAGCUCCCUUCCCCACCACACAUUUCCUCAGCAGCACCCAGCCACGUACAUGAGACAUAUGCAGCCCUGGCAGCUCUUCCCACCGUGGUGCACCCUGCAGGAUGCCAACACCAGCCCUGAGUCAGAAGAAGCACCAAGGAAGAUGAUUAAGCACAACAUUCUCCAGGAUGGCAAUUAAAUUCAUGCUUACAGGCAGGCACAUGCUUGAACACUGUUCUGGACGGCGAUGCUUUCUGAAAUCAGGGCCCUUUCCAAGGAAGAUGCCAUUGCUGGGUGGAUUAUCACCGACUUGUUUGUGCUGCUGCAGUUUGCAUGUGGGAGCAAACUGAGACCUGGGGACCUUCCAGCCUGCAGCAGGGCUCUCUGCUACAACCCUCCAUACCUCAAACUAUUCUCUGCAUCCCAUAAGGGCCAGUGCAGAAGUUAGCAAUGCUUGUAGCAACCCCAGUCCAUCUGCAUUCAGUCCCACUUCUAGGGUCUCACCUGGCCUCAAAGCAAAGGGGGGGGGCACAGAGGCUGCUCCAGGGUGACACACACCAGCCAUAGAUGUUUCAAUGAAACAGUCACAGAAGCCUCACCACAGUUUGUAUCAGACCUGUUUAACUCUUGCUUCAGCACUGCUUGAUGGCAAUUCCCAUCUGCAGCUGCUUCUGUCCAUGCAAAACCCCAGGAUUGUUUUGUGCUCAGUGGGACUCUCUGCAACUGGAGCACAUGAAUGCCUGACCCAUAACUGGGAGGGGAUAGAAAACAUCCAAGAGAGAAGAAGAGACUUUUCUUUUGUUUUUCUACUAGCAAACAGCAUUAGGAAUCAUUCUAUCAUAUAGCUGUGAAUGGCACAGAAUGCGAGACAGGUAGCUUAGAGCAGGAGGAUGCAAUAGGGAAUUCCUGCACUGGCUGCUCUGGUUUUGCUUUGAGCCUUCGGGCAGAGGCGAGCAGAGCUGAGAGCGCUCAGGAGCUUGGAGCAAAGAAAGAGUUAAAGGAGAAAAAAGUAAAAGGGGCUAAGCUAGGUAAAAAAAAAAGUAAUUGCACCAAGCUGCCAUAGAGAGGGAAGCGGGCGCUUCACAGCUUGUCCACCAGCUCCAAACCAGCACUUGCUCCUGAUAGACAGGAGGAAACCCAAGAGCUCCAGCUCACCCUGUUUCACCCAAGCAGAGACAGACACGCCGAGUACAAAAGUCCACAGCACUGCAGUAUGGCGACAGAAGCAAACCCGGUCCCCAUCACCAGGUUAGAGGUGGGGAAAAACAGAACCAGAUUUAAAAGGCUGCUCUGCUCCCUGCCCUGAUUCAGCAGCGGUUUACCCAGCUGCAGCCUGUUUACAUUUCUAACAAACUUCAUCCUGAACUCCCCGGGUCAGAUAUUCUAAGGAAGGAAAGGAACUUUAUUUAUCACGUAGCAGAGAGAGGGACCAGGGCAAACUGCCUGAGCCACAGUGAGACUCCAGCACUGAGCACAGCCCUGGAAUUUCUGGAUGCAUUUUACAGUACAGAUUGAGUUGUUUUUUUAUUAUUAUUUAUUUUUAUUGCUAAUUUACUUAAAAUGAGUGCUCUUAAGUGUAAAAAUCCCAGAAUCUUCCACCAGAUAUUCUCAGGUGCUGAGCUAGCAGUCAUGCUUCUUGCUUUAAGUAUGAAGUAGGAAUGAUACCAUCUGCAAAAGAAUUCCGUGUGGCAAAUCGAAAGGAAAAGCAGUCCACCUUCCAACAAGCCCUCACUGCUUCUAUGAAUAAAUGCAUUAAUAAGCAAAGUGAAUAAAAUGCAGGAGAUUGGAACUUUUUAGCAGCCUCACUGUGAACAACCUGUUAGCAGACCAACAUUUAAGCCUGAGAAAACAGCCAUAUCUAAAAUUGAAACCAAAACUUGUUCUUAGCUUUCUUGCAAGUUAAAGCAGUUAUAACACAGGAAAGCUCUAAAAUGCUGCCCCAAGUCAGAUCUGCACAAAACUGCUUUGUUUGCACAUCGCGGGGAUUGAAAGCAGACAUUGCACAUGGCAGAGCUCAUCAGGACCCAACUCCACAGCCGAGCACUCAGCAUAGGAAGUGCAUCAGCUCCUUCUCUUGGUUAAGGCGUUUGAGCAGAAAAUUUCUGCUCUGAUGCUGUCUUCAUAUGUAUCUGGUACUAUUAUUGAUGUAUCUUCUAAUGAAAUAAUUCCUGAGGAUGCUACUCCACCUGUCAAUGGGAGUAAAAAAAAAAAGCUUCUGUGCCACUGUGCUCAAAGGGAAAUCAAAUAACCCAGCCUUUCAAGGCUGGUUGACAUGCAAGGAAAAAUCCAUCUCAUUUAAAUUACAAAAAUAAGAUAAAACACAAAAGGAAGAGCCCCCCAACUCUGAGCCUGAAUUACUUAUGAUUUCCCCUUGCAAAGCGAAGGAAGUAUUAGAUCCUAUGUUCACACUGUGAUGAUGCUGUAGCACAAAGCAAGCAAUAAUUAGAGAACGUCCAAAUUAACUGAAGUCACAGUCUGGACUCAUUCCUUCAUUUAUGUACAUUUUUAAAGGCCUUUAAUUAAGCCGCCAUGUCUUAAGAUCAGACUUUCAAAGCUCUAUAAGCAACUGAUAAGAAUCUAAACUGCAAAGGACAAUUCAGGCCAUCACAAUUCUUUGAAAAUCCUUAAUUGGUGUAAUACAACGUCUCUUCUCUCUCAAGUGAGAUAUAUAUAUUCAGCCAAACGAACCUGGGACAGCAUACAGAAGUUACAGAUGAUCUUCACCUGAGGGCAGAGUUAAGGUUAAAGAUUCAGGAUUUACUUCUGUGUUCAAACGGCAGCCCCUCAAAUACCCAAAAUCACAAGACAGAGAAAAUCAGGGCAUGUUCCCCAACAGCAGUUGGGCAAUGACCCAGUGAUGACCAACAUGCCCAUGAAAUCCAAUCAAACCACCAAGCAAAUCCAAGACUGGCCAAAUUCUUUCACUAAAGCUUUAGAUCUCUUUAAGGCAUUUAAGAUAAUCUAAGUCCUUCUAUUGGCACAAGCUGUUUAAAAUGAUCUAAGGCUUUAGAUUGGUUUAAGCUGCUUAUGGAGCUUUAAGGUUUUAGAAAGGUUUAGACUACUAAAAAACAUUCCCCAAAAAUAAGUGGGGUUAUUUGCUGGAGCUUGUCAUACCAUCCCUUGGAUGCAGUGCAAAUACAGAAAUACCUACACAGGAAUCAAAUUUGGUUUGCAACACUCCAAGUGAAAGCCAGGCAGGGCUAAGUCUACAAAUACCAACUUCAUGGAUGACUUCUACUGGCAUGAGUUUGGGUUUGGGGAGCAGCACGCCCUAGUUCAAGCAUGGAGAUCUGUCAUCUUAAAAGAAGAAAAAUGUACCAGAAAAAGUGACAAGAAACUCAUCACAGCAAUUCCUCCCUGUUGAGAAAAAGCAAAGAACGUGACAGUAUAUAAACCCUACACAUGCCAUUGUCCCCCCCCUCCUUCCAAUGCUCUGAUUUGCACCUCCGUACCAAAGUCAGUCACUUCUCAUGGGAUUGCAACCAUGGAUGUACUGGGGGGUAAGAAAGCCAAGGUGCUGACAGGGUGCUCAAUGACAAGACUCCAUUGGCCAAACAGGUCCUUACCUCAAGCAAUCCCUCUGGACUGCAGAGGGUGCAGGAGCCCACGCAGCCAGCAGAGCUCUCCAAGGGGGGUCGGGGCAGGCCCUGCUCUGCUCCUCUGUGUUUCUGCAGAUGGGCUCCAAACAUCCCCCAAGCCACCUCCCCCAGAGUCACUGCCCAUCCCCCGGGGAGCUAGAAUUUCAUCCCUGAAACCCUGCCUGCAAAAUCAGUGCAACCCCCCAGCUUGAGAGAACACCCUUCAUAACCUGUUGCACAAACAGACCUGGUCAGAUAAUUAAGAUUUCUCCCUUUCCCUCUCUGCAGAGGGGACAGUCCCAUCCCUCUUGGCCAUCUAGAUGCACAAAGAGCCUAUAUUGAAGCCACUUCAGCACAGGCAGUGUGGUGCACAGCCACCCUCUGCUCUCAUUUACACCAACAUAAAGGCAGAGCAUCGGGCCAUGUGUCAAAAGUCUUUAAUUACAUGACCGAACUCACACAUGAGCGAGCUCAUCUUAGAUAUCUGUUUAUUGAGAGCUGUAAGUAACACAAGAUUGCUCUCUAUCGAAUAAACACCGUGCACACAAAGGGAAGUUGGGAUUACUUAUUCAACCAAACACUCAUUCCACGUUUUGGUUGCUUAACUUUGCAACCUUUAUGAAGUAUCAGUGUGCCCCCCCCCCAUCCCCUUUGCAGUUUGCUAUUGAGUACCUGGUUCAUUUUAUGGUUAUUCAGCCAUGCAGAACCAAAGGUUUCUCAUCAUCAAGUCAAUUAUCCCAGUAUGCGUUUCUGAUUUGGGACUACACCACUUCAGACCUUGAGAAGCCUUUGCAAUGGCAAAACUGAGCAAAACCCAUAUGACUAAGAAGAAACAAAUUCUGCAAGAAGCAGCAACGGAAGCCUGCAUCUUCCUUUGUUAAAGUCGUCUCCAUCUCCAUCAUGUGAUCUGGAAAGAUCUUCACAAGCAGCAGCAUCACACCAGGAGGCAGCGCUGAGAAUCACAAGGCAGCACCAGAACCAAUGAGCAGAUCUGUCCAGGAUGGAAAUCAACCCCAUAGCACCCUGAUGUAUAGAGGGGAAUACAGGUCCCGACAGCUGAAGGCACACAAAUCAAAGCCUUUGGUGAGCUCUACUCUAACUUACCUCAUUCCUGCACUCACUGCUAGGUCAUACUUUUGGUAGAUUGGAUGUUCUUGGAAUUUUGCUACCUUCCUGGUCUUCCCUGUGUACGUCUGUUUUGCAGAACACUUUCCAGGUCUGCUGCUAAUUGCAUUAUCAGCAUCAUGGAGCACUGAUCUCUGCCAGUUGACGAAGAGCUGUUCACAGCGGGGCAUGGAAAUACAAGCUGUACCACUAAGAGGUGAAGCAAGGAUGGAGAUCUUCCCUGCAUUACCCUCACGUACCCAGCCCAUCCCUGCACAACAAACUUUUUGUGCAGUUCAUGGAAGGGCAUCUCCUUUGCUCCCUACCCCUUACCAUAAAGCACCCCAGUAUCCCCACCAAGACCAGGAUCCCACAUAGUGCUUCCUUAAGGGGAUAGAACAUGAAGGCAGACAUUAUCAUAGCAUCAUACAAUGGCCUGGGUUGAAAAAGACCACAAUGCUCAUCUACUUUCAACCCCCUGCUAUGUGCAGGGUCACCAACCAGCAGACCAGGCUGUCCAGAGCCACAUCCAGCCUGGCCUUGAAUGCCUGCAGGGAUGGGGCAUCCACAGCCUCCUUGGGCAACCUGUUCAGUGCGUCACCACCCUCUGGGUGAAAAACUUCCUCCUCAUAUCCAACCUAAACCUCCCCUGUCUCAGUUUAAAACCAUUCCCCCUUGUCCUAUCACUUUCCACCCUCGUAAACAGCCGUUCCCCCUCCUGCUUAUACACUCCCUUCAAGUACUGGAAGGCCACAAUGAGGCCCCCCUGGAGCCUUCUCUUCUCCAAGCUAAACAAGCCCAGUUCCCUCAACCUUUCCUCAUAGGAGAGGUGCUCCAGCCCUCUGAUCAUCUUAGUGGCCCUCCUCUGGACCUGUUCCAAGAGUAUUGUGUUUCUAUGCAUUUCUCCAACUGCAUCCAUGCCUCGGACAACCACAUUAGACUUGGCACUGUGUAAUGUUUUGAAAAACCCCAAAGC